This 69-nucleotide transfer RNA is filed under the name Podarcis lilfordi (Lilford's wall lizard). RNAcentral describes it as "tRNA.Asn". The stretch from base 4 to 60 matches the Rfam family "tRNA", at positions 8 to 63 of the family's 71-position model. From Rfam's summary of the family: Transfer RNA (tRNA) molecules are approximately 80 nucleotides in length. Their secondary structure includes four short double-helical elements and three loops (D, anti-codon, and T loops). Lineage: Eukaryota; Metazoa; Chordata; Lepidosauria; Squamata; Lacertidae. The record is from RNAcentral.
GGAUAGCUCAGUUGGUAGAACAUGAGACUGUUAAUCUCAGGGCCCGGGGUUCAAGCCCCACGUUGGGCA